UAGGGAAUCUUCGGCAAUGGGGGCAACCCUGACCGAGCAACGCCGCGUGAGUGAAGAAGGUUUUCGGAUCGUAAAGCUCUGUUGUAAGAGAAGAACGAGUGUGAGAGUGGAAAGUUCACACUGCGACGGUAACUUACCAGAAAGGGACGGCUAACUACGUGCCAGCAGCCGCGGUAAUACGUAGGUCCCGAGCGUUAUCCGGAUUUAUUGGGCGUAAAGCGAGCGCAGGCGGUUAGAUAAGUCUGAAGUUAAAGGCUGUGGCUUAACCAUAGUACGCUUUGGAAACUGUUUAACUUGAGUGCAGAAGGGGAGAGUGGAAUUCCAUGUGUAGCGGUGAAAUGCGUAGAUAUAUGGAGGAACACCGGUGGCGAAAGCGGCUCUCUGGUCUGUAACUGACGCUGAGGCUCGAAAGCGUGGGGAGCAAACAGGAUUAGAUACCCUGGUAGUCCACGCCGUAAACGAUGAGUGCUAGGUGUUGGGUCCUUUCCGGGACUCAGUGCCGCAGCUAACGCAUUAAGCACUCCGCCUGGGGAGUACGACCGCAAGGUUG
RNAcentral lists this ribosomal RNA (550 nucleotides) under uncultured bacterium. RNAcentral's name for it is "bacterial SSU rRNA". It matches the Rfam family "Bacterial small subunit ribosomal RNA", at positions 355 to 896 of the family's 1533-position model. The record is from RNAcentral.